UUAAAGGAUAAGAGUAAUCCUUUGGUCU
Molecule: transfer RNA, 28 nt
Filed under: Sceloporus slevini
Lineage: Eukaryota; Metazoa; Chordata; Lepidosauria; Squamata; Phrynosomatidae
Description: partial tRNA-Leu
Source: RNAcentral